Long non-coding RNA from Sinocyclocheilus anshuiensis, 693 nucleotides. RefSeq lists it as uncharacterized. The record is from RefSeq and is a predicted model, not a curated record. NCBI's taxonomy places the organism in Eukaryota, Metazoa, Chordata, Actinopteri, Cypriniformes, Cyprinidae. The transcript has 3 exons.
GUCAGGUGCUUCUCCACCAGCUUCAGCCGUAAAUCACGACACUCGGCCAGCAGCUCCAUCAUCACGCUCUUAUCAAAGUCAUGCAGAUGGCAAAGCAGCACAGAGCACGCUGAAGUAGAAAAUCAGGGCAGAUCAACACUGAGGAACUGCCUCCUCUUCCUGUCGCCCCAUUCCCACGUCCUGCUUCAGUCCCAGCGUGACCUUUGACCUGCGGAGUUCUCUCUGUCCCUAAAAAGACACACACAUACACACACACACACACACACACACACACUGGAGCGGAGGAGUAUGGUGUGUGCUGGACACUGAGCAUGUCUUUUCUGGAAAAUUUGCUGUUAUUCUGACAUUUAUAAACCCUCACAGACACAAAUAUCUCUGGGGAUUCAGAGGUCUUAGAGAUUUAUACCAAACACCGUUUUUCCCGUCAUUUUCUACAUGCAAGUGAACAGUAACACACUGCUAGUAAAGAUUUUGAUCACCCAAAAUAUUUUUUUUAGUCUCAGUGGAGUGGAGAGGAACUUUGAAAUGUACAGUAUGUUACAAUGCACUCUUAUCUCAAAAGAUCAAAAGGAAAAUGUGCUGACAAAAAAAAAUCAUAACACGAUAUCAAUACUUGUAUCCUGUUCUGUAAAUAUGCAGUGAAGACAUUUAUGUAUUUGUGUCUGUGUGUCUGUGUCUGUGUGUGUGUCUAUG